UUCCAAAUGAUGAGUCCUAAAUAGGAAUAAACGCACGUCUUGGAU
This is a non-coding RNA of Schistosoma mattheei, 45 nucleotides long. NCBI's taxonomy places the organism in Eukaryota, Metazoa, Platyhelminthes, Trematoda, Strigeidida, Schistosomatidae. The record is from Rfam.